Anas platyrhynchos (mallard) is the source of this 1669-nucleotide long non-coding RNA. RefSeq lists it as uncharacterized. The record is from RefSeq and is a predicted model, not a curated record. NCBI's taxonomy places the organism in Eukaryota, Metazoa, Chordata, Aves, Anseriformes, Anatidae.
UGUCCCUGCCUCUCCCUCCACUCUCCUCUACACCCCCAGGGCUGCAUGGCUUUGGGAAGAGAAUGGUAGAAAGAAGUCAGUGCAGGUAGAACAGCUGUGGGAGCAGCUGAGACAGAUGCCAGAGUGUUUUGCUCAGUUUUCACCAGCCACACUCUGUCUUUCACAGCUCUGUGCUCCAAAACCCGUCUCCCCCCCGGCUCACAUCUCUUCAUCUCAGCUUCAGCCAUAUGGGACCCCAUCUCCUGUUGCCUUCUCGCUGCUCUCCUGCCUGGAAACAACCUCCCCUUUCCUCCAUCUUCUCCUCUUCCUUCCUGACACAGGCUUGUUCCCCACAGCCUGCCCUGCCUGUUUUGGGCACGACCUCUCCAUUGCUCAGUGUAUACGCCCAGCCUGGCAUGCAGGGGUUCCUUCUCAGGCACCGCUGUAGUAACAACCGCAGAACUGCAUUGUGCUCGUGUCUUUACUAGCUUAUACAGGAAUAUACAGUGGUGUUUUACAAGGCUAUAAAAAUACAUCUUAAAGGAAGCGAGCACAGGAAAACAGGAGGAGUGGGGCCAGAUCAGCUGAUGUAAAUAAAGGCUGCAUUGAAUUAAAUAGCGCUGCGACUAUUUACAGCAGCUGCAGGACCUGGCCUGUGGCCUCCUCUUAAAGCAGGGAGGUGCUGCAACAUCCCCUUUCUGUUCUGGUAGAUGCUGGCCCAAGCUCCCCUUGCCCUUGUAGCAAAGAGGGAUGCUGGCAGGGAUGAGGAAUGGGAAGCACAGCCGUACUGCACCUGCAGAGGGUGAUGCUUACAGCCAGGGUGCUGCAUGGUGCCCAGCAGUGAGGACCGGCUCAUUUCCUUCUGCCUGUCCCCACAAUAGACUGGCUGUCACCUGGGGAUAAUUCCCCAUGGCUGGAUCUGGGCAGGAGUUGCAGUAUUCACCAAACCAUGCCAUGUCGAGGCUCCAAAAACUACUUGGCAAGGUAAGGUCAAAUCCAGCACAAGGGGUGGACUUCUAGGUGGCACAAAGAUGACAAGAAGAAAGGAAAGGAAGUCAUUUGGGAAAGGUCAAACAUCACAUUUUGACAUUUUCUGUUCUGAGAACAACUGAAUUUGUUUCAGUUUAACCUGAAACAAGUGUUAAACUUUCUAUUCAGCCCCUGAAAUGAUAGACUUGUGCCGUGGUAGUGCUUUGUGGAUUACAGACCUGCUCCCUGGGGUGUACAGCAAAGCUCAUUUCAUCUUUCCUGGAUCAAAUUUUUGUAAGAACAAAAAUUCCAAUAGCGAUCCUUCAGGAGAGAUGGUUUCCCAGUGAGGCUUCAGGAUAAUGUGAACUUCCAUCUCUGGCAAGCUGCUGUACUGAGCACUCACAGAAUCCAGAUUUUUCAGGGAUAAAGGAAGUUUUCUCUGUGGGAGUGAAGUUCCAUCAACAAUCAGAAGAGACUAUGGAUAGGAAAUGUUACCUUUACACUCAACCAGACUGCCUCAGUUGUCUUGUUUGAGUUGACUACAGAUUUCCUUAUGUUCAAAGCAUAGCAUUUUAACUUCUGUUAUAAAUUACAAAAAUUAAAAUAUAUAUAUAUUCAGUUUUGAAUUUUUAAAAUAAAAUAGAUUUCAACCAAUGGCAUCACUUGGGGUGUGUGUGGUUUUUUCUUAUAUUGUUGAAAUAAAAUGCUCAGAGAACUUCAA